AAUACUGCAAGUCGAGCGGAUCUUCAUUAGCUUGCUUUUGAAGAUCAGCGGCGGACGGGUGAGUAACACGUGGGCAACCUGCCUGUAAGACUGGGAUAACUUCGGGAAACCGGAGCUAAUACCGGAUAAUCCUUUCCCUCACAUGAGGGAAAGCUGAAAGACGGUUUCGGCUGUCACUUACAGAUGGGCCCGCGGCGCAUUAGCUAGUUGGUGAGGUAACGGCUCACCAAGGCAACGAUGCGUAGCCGACCUGAGAGGGUGAUCGGCCACACUGGGACUGAGACACGGCCCAGACUCCUACGGGAGGCAGCAGUAGGGAAUCUUCCGCAAUGGACGAAAGUCUGACGGAGCAACGCCGCGUGAACGAUGAAGGCUUUCGGGUCGUAAAGUUCUGUUGUCAGGGAAGAACAAGUACCGGAGUAACUGCCGGUACCUUGACGGUACCUGACCAGAAAGCCACGGCUAACUACGUGCCAGCAGCCGCGGUAAUACGUAGGUGGCAAGCGUUGUCCGGAAUUAUUGGGCGUAAAGCGCGCGCAGGCGGUUCCUUAAGUCUGAUGUGAAAGCCCCCGGCUCAACCGGGGAGGGUCAUUGGAAACUGGGGAACUUGAGUGCAGAAGAGGAGAGCGGAAUUCCACGUGUAGCGGUGAAAUGCGUAGAGAUGUGGAGGAACACCAGUGGCGAAGGCGGCUCUCUGGUCUGUAAUUGACGCUGAGGCGCGAAAGCGUGNGGAGCGAACAGGGAUUAGAUACCCUGGGUAGUCCACGCCGGUA
RNAcentral lists this ribosomal RNA (773 nucleotides) under Mesobacillus thioparans. RNAcentral's name for it is "bacterial SSU rRNA". It matches the Rfam family "Bacterial small subunit ribosomal RNA", at positions 50 to 805 of the family's 1533-position model. The record is from RNAcentral. Lineage: Bacteria; Bacillati; Bacillota; Bacilli; Caryophanales; Bacillaceae.